CCAGAAAUUCAUAAGAGCUCCAGUUCCUCCACCCCCUCAACAGCCCUUGGUGUUGUCUGUCUUCUUCAUUUUGGUCAUUCUAGAAAGCAAUGGUCAGAAGAAAAUUAGAAAAUUUAAAAAUGGAAUUUCUCAGCACAGCAGAAUUCCUUCGCAAAAAUAAAACAUGAAAAUAAGACUGCAAUCAAAGUAAGCUUCUGAGUGACGCAUUUGUUAACCAAGCAAGGAAAGCCUUUCACCGAGGGAAUUUACAGCUCUUCUCUGAAAGCAGCAGAGGACCACAGCCAAUCCCCGACACCAAGUCUGUUCACACCAUCUCUGGACUUCCUGGUUCCCCCGACCCAGCUACCCUGUUCCAAAGAAGGAAUAAGACCAGUGGACAACCAAUCAACUGAAAAAGCCAGGUAAAUUCUGUAUUUAUCCCAUAAAAAUCCCUUAGUCUGUGAGCAACUCGGAACUCAUUGCUCCCAUAGCCUGAGUUUCCCAGCUGGCCGGUCAAAAGCCUUUCUGCUUUGUUUUAUUCACUACACGGUCUGGCUUUUGACACUUGCUUCUUUAAAAACUUGAAAUAGAAUUAUAAAAGCACUUAAGACAGUAGCUAAAAUGUGAGCAGUACUUUCAAGAGCAUUAAUACUUACAGAAGAAACAAUUUUGUAAGUAGUUUGAUGUGGUCCAUGUUUAAUUUCAAUCUCUUUAUUAUUCUGGCUGCACAUAACCCCUGAAUCAGAGUGCCUAUGAUCAGAAACAUACCAAAAUUCCGAACAGCAAGACUAAGAGGAGACCAAUGAGGUAGAGAGGGUGUAGAAAACUAACAGUUGGUCUAGAAACUCUGAGUUAGAUGGCAGGGGAAAGAAAAGUGGAAGCAGAAGGGACAGAAACAAAGAGAAGCUGAGUCGUCACAGUGGCAGAACAUUGCACAGAGAGCAACAGACGUCUACUCUUAAGGGACAAAAUGAUAAGAUUGAUGGAGCUGCUUCUUAUCAGAAUAGCUUUUAAGUGCUCAUGGAGGCCUGUGUGUCCUGUUCCUUAGCUCUGUGGCUGAUGAGAUUAUUUUGUUCUUUCUCUGUUUUUCAUAUGUUCUUACAACACAAACCAUCAACUGAGGCAACCUGAAGAUGUAUCUGCUCCUUACAACCUACAAGAAGCUAACUGGCGUAGACAAAUAUUUGGGUUGUAUCCAAAAAAAAUCACUGUGAUAACCAGCCUAAAAGAUAAAUCUUUGUCUGUGAUUAAUGUUAUUUCCUUAGGACUGAGCUCUAGAAUAAAAAUUGAGAGGUCAGGGGCCGGCCCAGUGGUGCAGCAGUUAGGUUUGCGCGUUCCGCUUCGGCAUCCUGGGGUUCCCUGGUUCGGAUCCUGGGUGCAGAUAUGGCACUGCUUGGCAAGCCAUGCUGUGGUAGGCAUCCCACAUAUAAAAAAAGUAGAGGAAGAUGGGCACAGAUGUUAGCUCAGGGCCAGUCUUCCUCAGUGAAAAGAGGAGGAUUGGCAGCAGUUAGCUCAGGGCUAAUCUUCCUCAAAAAAAAAAAUUUACAGGUCAAAGGGUAAAGAACUUUUUGAAUACUUCCAAACAGCUUUUCAUAAAUUGCUUUGAUAGCUAUUGAUGUUCAUUAUUUUUUCAUGAUUUUUAAAUCUUUUAAUUUCAUAUGUUGCACACUUUCUGUUUCUAUUCUGUCUAUAUGGCUGACACUGUAUUUUGGCAGACCCAACCUUCAUUUGCAACAUGUUUCUCCCUUACUUGACUCUCCUAUGGAGGAGGCGAAACCUAAAUUUUAAUUUCCACUCUCUCCUGUUGAGAAAUAAGUCGUCUGCUGCAUUCUCCAAAUGCUGCCUUUUUCCUGCUCGAACUGCUGGGAGAGGCAGCAGUCAUUUUGAAACCAAAAAUAUAAAAGUUACAUGCUAAGAAUGUAUGAGUCAAAAGGUUUACGCCUUGGACAUUGGUGAUGUUUGGAGUCACUGUAUCAUCGCUGCACAGAUUCCCAUGGACUUCUUGUUACCUGAGUAAAACAGACCUUUCACCUGUGAUGCCGCUGUAGUGGGUUUUUUCUGUUUCUUUUAGCUAAAUACAAUUUGACUGUAAUACCCAUCUUUUCAUGACUUCUUCUGUAUUGUGGAAAUCUAUUAUGUUUGUUGCAAAUAUUUUCCCAGUUAGUUGUUUGUUCUUUAGUUUGUUUACGAUAUUUUUCAAUGUACAUACGGUUUUAUGUUUAUGCUAUUAAAUGUACUCAC
This 2220-nucleotide long non-coding RNA is filed under the name Equus caballus (horse). RNAcentral describes it as "lncRNA (ENSECAG00000045289.1)". The record is from RNAcentral. Lineage: Eukaryota; Metazoa; Chordata; Mammalia; Perissodactyla; Equidae.